CCUGUGGCAUAUGGAAGUUCCCAGGCUAGGGAUCAAAUCAGAGCUCGGCUGAGGCCUAUGCCACAGCCAUGGCAAUGCUAGAUCUGAGCCACAUCUGGGACCUACACUGCAACUUGUGACAAUGCCGAAUUCCUAACCCACUGAGUGAGGUCAGGGAUUGAGCCUGCAUUGUCACAGACACUAUGUCAGAUUCUUAACCCAUUGAUCCACAAUUGGAACUCCUUUUCAAUUUUUUUAAAUGUUCACUAAAUGCUUUUUGAAUGUGCAUAAUAUCCUUUGGUGUAUUAAUGUUUAGACACAAAACUGUUCAUUCAUCAUUCAACCAUUCAUUCAUAGGAGAGUUUGCCUUUGGAGAAAAUGAAUAGUAUAGUAUAUGGGGUGAUAAUGUGUGUGUGUGUGAGUAGAAGACUAGUUAAGAGAAGAGUGGAGACAUUUGAAUGGGUAAGAGCUAGGGAUUGAACUGCAUCCUCAUGGGUACUAGUCAGGCGUGUUGCUGCUGAGCCACAGUGGGAAUUCCUCUGCUAAUACAUUUAUCAAGUUACUUAACCACUUUGAGUUUCAUUUUCCUCAUCUGUAAAGUAGGAAAAAUACUGAUGCAUUCUUGUAGGACUGUGAUUAAAAACACACAAGAUAACCCAAACAAAGUGCUGAGAGCAGUGUUCUUCUCAUGGUAAUCUUGUAGGAAAUGUUUUCUACUAGAAUUAAUAAUGAAGAGAAUUUCAUUUUUGGUUUUACAAUCAAUAUGGGCCUAGUAAAGCAGAUGGGGUUAGUGAACUAACAGACCUAUUGAAACAGAUUUGCCACUAGUUGAACCCUAGUAAUCACAUUUUUUACAAGUUCCCCAGAUAACUUUGGUGAGUACCUUGGUUUGGGUGUGCACACUUUAUAUUUGCUGUAUAUGUCAUGUAGGAUCUGUUAGUUCAAUGCCUUAUUGCCUUCCUCUGGGAAGAAGACCAGUCUUAUUCCUGAUAGUCCCAUAAGUGAUAGAAAGGAGAAUUAAUAGGCCAAAUUAGUCACAAAACAAAUUUCCUAUGGACAGUAUGUUAGAAAACUAAUAAAUAGGAGUUCCCUUGUGGCAUAGCAGGUUAAGGAUUUUCCAGUCACUGCAGCGGCUCUGGUUGCUGUUGCGGCUCAAGGUCAAUUCCGGGAACUUUCACAUGCUACAAGCACAGCAGAAAACAAACAAACAAAGAAAAAACACCUCAUAAAUAACUAAAUAACCAAACAACAAAUCAGCCUUUCAUGAGAAGCUUUCAUUUUGGGUGACAAGGUCAUCUAUUCUCUAAAGAUCUCUCCUAUAAAAUCAUUAGAUCCUGAUCUAAGUGGGUAUAUUUUAUUGCACUUCUGGGCUCAGGACAUAAGGGAAAUUAGGCACAUAAACCUAAUCCAAGUAAACAAAUCUGUGAGCUGAAACUUGAGAGGUGGUCAUGAGCAGACAUGCAAACUGAGGCUACUGUAAGUGCUAACAUCAGUCCUGAAGAUAAGAGACCAACUCUUGGGUCCACAUAAAAUUGGGGAGAAAAAAACCUGAGACUUCUGAAUUGAGCUGGAGAUUCUUAGGGUGGCAUAUUCAUCCCAGGUCAACAGUGUCCUUGGGCUACUGGCAUAAACAAUUUACAUUUGCUGGAGGAGAGCAUGCCUCAUUUAGGGCCCCAGGAUUUCUAGGGGUAAAGAUCUAUGAAAUAUGAGCUCAUAAGUUAAGACCAAAAAAUAGAUAAGGAAACAUGCUUUCAAGAAUGAAGAAAGAAACUCAAAGGACAUGAGACACUAGAAUUAUCACAUGCAGAACAAAGUAACUCUGUAUAUAGUUAAAAAGCAGCUUUAUUGAUAUAUAAUUCAUACACAUACAGUUGACCCAUUUAACCCAUUUAAAGUGUGCAAUUUGGAAUUCCUGUCAUGGCUCAGUGGUUAGUGAACCCGACUAGCAUCCAUGAGAACAUGGGUUCGAUCCCUGGCCUCACUCUCUGGGUUAAGGAUCUGGUGCUGCUGUGAGCUGUGGUGUAGGUCACAGACACAGCUCAGAUCCAGCAUUGCUGUGGCUGUGGCGUAGGCCAGUGGCUAUAGCUCUGACUGAACCCCUAGCCUGGGAACCUCCAUAUGCCAUGGAUGCAGACCUAAAAAAAAAAAAAAAAAAAGACAAAAAGACAAAAAAAGAAGUGUGCAAUUAAAAGAUUUUUAGUAUAUUUACAGAUACAUGCAACCAUCACCAAAGUCAAUUUUAGAACAUUUUGAUCAUCUCAAGAAGAAAUUCCAUACCCUUUAAUUAUCAUCCCCAUCUCCCAUUUCCUUUUCCCCAAGUCUGGCAACCCCUAAUCUAGUUUCCUUCUAUAUAGAUCUCCUAUUCUGGACUUUUAUAUGAAUGAAAUCAUGUAAUAGGUGGUCCUUUUGUGACUGGCUUAUUUCAUUCAGCAUGAUGUAUCAAGGCCCAUCUACUUCAUUCCUCUCUGUGGCUAAAUAAUAUCCCAUAAAUUUC
Molecule: long non-coding RNA, 2473 nt
Filed under: Sus scrofa (pig)
Lineage: Eukaryota; Metazoa; Chordata; Mammalia; Artiodactyla; Suidae
Description: lncRNA (ENSSSCG00065029340.1)
Source: RNAcentral